Molecule: ribosomal RNA, 397 nt
Filed under: uncultured bacterium
Lineage: Bacteria
Description: bacterial SSU rRNA
Rfam family: Bacterial small subunit ribosomal RNA
Source: RNAcentral
UAUUGCACAAUUGGGGCAACCCUGGUGCAGCGACGCCGCGUGAGUGAAGAAGUAUUUCGGUAUGUAAAGCUCUAUCAGCAGGGAAGAAAAUGACGGUACCUGAUUAAGAAGUUCCGGCUAACUACGUGCCAGCAGCCGCGGUAAUACGUAGGGGGCAAGCGUUAUCCGGAAUUACUGGGUGUAAAGGGAGCGUAGACGGCAGCACAAGUCUGGAGUGAAAUGCCGGGGCUUAACCCCGGAACUGCUUUGGAAACUGUGCAGCUAGAGUGCAGGAGAGGUAAGUAGAAUUCCUAGUGUAGCGGUGAAAUGCGUAGAUAUUAGGAGGAACACCAGUGGCGAAGGCGGCUUACUGGACUGUAACUGACGUUGAGGCUCGAAAGCGUGGGGAGCAAAUAGG